UGGCGCUUGCACGGCAACAUGCACUUCUGCCCCAAGCAACAGGGAGGGGUGGGCUCCGAGUUGCUCCCCGGCAAGUAGGUGCUGAAACCCAGAACAGACAUACACCACUUUACUCUGAACUUUCAGGAGGUGCAGCUCAAUCCUCUGCCUAACUGUUGGGAGAACCAGGAAUUGGGGAAAACGCUUCACGCCUAGCGCACAAAUCUUCUAGAACCAUGUCAAGAAACAACGUCGUCUCCCCCUGUCUAUAGAUACUGGGAUUUCCUUUGCCCCCACAAGAAAGAAGUCAGCUCGUCUGCCCUGGCAUGUUCACAGUUACAUGGCUGCUCAGAUACUCCCAACAAUAGUCUAAGCCAGGCUUUAAGUUAUUAUAUGGACCCCGAUUAAUAAUAAAUCAAGUCCUGGAGACAAGGAGCCAGUUAAUCAGUUAGGUUUGUUCUUGGUUGCAUAGAAUGGAUGUCUUAGGAAUAGGCAUAUCAUAAUGGAAUUCAAAUCCCAGCUCUACAUCACAAUGGAUGAAUCAUGUUGGGAAGUGUGCCCUUUCAUCAGGUAGAAACAGAAUCAAGGCCAUCCUACACUAUAAAAUGAAGAUAGUUAUUGAUUCCCUCCGAACAUCCUUCCCUCCUCUAUGAUUCACAUAUACAAUAUUCGCUCGGGACCACAGAGUUCCUCCAGGAGUGCUAAUAACAAUAUGCCUGACCACAGUAACAAACACUCACGCGGGAAUGUUAUUAGACCUCGGGCACCGUUCUAAGUAUAUCUGACUUUCACAGAAGCACCCUGAGAUUCUACGCUCUCUGGGUGCUAAUUUGCCCUUGAGAUAUCCUAGCAGGCUUACGCCAAGCUCAACGGACCGAAGCCUCCCUUGUCCCAAGUUGGACCUACCCAUGGUGGCACGUUUUGCUCGGAAGUUGAGGAAACGUGGAGCUAUUGCCGUCACUGGCAAAUCAGCUUUGGAUGAAAUAUUCAAGACAGCUAGAAGCUAAGCAGGAUAACUGAAUUCACAACCAUUUGCUACAGGACCAUAAUUUAAUGGCAGCAUUAUAAUUUGCUAAAUACCAUUACCAUGGCACCGGGUCCUAUUAAUCAAAAACAGGAAAAGCUGUACACAGCAAUUUUUCUUUACUAUUUGUAGUGGCUUAUUACUGGUGCUUACCUCUAGAGUAGAUGUUACCUUUUUAGCUUCCAUAAUCAAAUACUCUAAAAAUAAGUCAAAUUUGAUUAC
Felis catus (domestic cat) is the source of this 1225-nucleotide long non-coding RNA. RefSeq lists it as uncharacterized. The transcript is spliced from 3 exons. NCBI's taxonomy places the organism in Eukaryota, Metazoa, Chordata, Mammalia, Carnivora, Felidae. The record is from RefSeq and is a predicted model, not a curated record.